UACGAGUUAACUCUGCUUGAUUAUACGUUUGAAGAACAUAACCUCCAAGACCUGCAGUAAAAAUUUGAAUAACAUGAAGGAAGCCUUAAUAUAGUAGAUUUAACGCAAUGUAUGCAGACUACAGUUUAGCUAUUAGAAGGAAUGAACAUUUUUUAAGCAUAGAAGAAGAUGAUCACAAGUGCCUAUGAACAUACACGCAAUAAUCAGCCAGUAUCAGUUGACUCGCAUACAACGCGUUAAAAUCCGUAUUUACCAACACAAUUAUCGUCACAAAAGAUGACCAUCUGGAAUAAUACUAUUUCCUCUAUCACCAAAGAUAAAUUCCUCUGUUGCCACAGGGCACACGAUGGGAGUAGAUAUGCCAUCCAUAAUGGUCCUUCCUCACCGACAGAUAACGAGACAGCU
Eufriesea mexicana is the source of this 405-nucleotide long non-coding RNA. RefSeq lists it as uncharacterized. Lineage: Eukaryota; Metazoa; Arthropoda; Insecta; Hymenoptera; Apidae. The transcript has 3 exons. The record is from RefSeq and is a predicted model, not a curated record.